Long non-coding RNA from Mus musculus (house mouse), 1828 nucleotides. RefSeq annotates it as predicted gene, 35117. The record is from RefSeq and is a predicted model, not a curated record. NCBI's taxonomy places the organism in Eukaryota, Metazoa, Chordata, Mammalia, Rodentia, Muridae. The transcript is spliced from 4 exons.
UUGUUCAAUGGCUGCACAAUUGUCCUUUCUCUUUCCAAGGACCUCUGUAUGGGUGUGUCCUUCAUUCAGUGCCUUUCCUCUGUGGGUUUGUCCUGCUAGCCCCCUGUCACUGAGAAAGUCUUCUGUCUGUCCUUGGGUUGUCUGGCUAGAACACAGACAUCAUUGUCUUUUUUUUUUUUUUUUUUUUUUUUUAAAGAUUUAUUUAUAUGUAAGUACACUGUAGCUGUCUUCAGACACUCCAGAAGAGGGAGUCAGAUCUCGUUAGGAUGGUUGUGAGCCACCAUGUGGUUGCUGGGAUUUGAACUCCAGACCUUCGGAAGAGCAGUCGGGUGCUCUUACUCACUGAGCCAUCUCACCAGCCCCGACAUCAUUGUCUUGCCCACGACUGCUCUCCAGAAUGGUGGGCAGGAGGAUGUGACCCCCCACCCCCAGGCACCGGGACACAACAUCUUCUACACGUGUAGGUCUUGUGCACUGGCUUUGCUUUCUUCUUCCAAGCAGGUCUCCCAGGAAAUGGCACUUACAGAGAUUGAAGAGUUUAAUACAUGUCUCGCUGCCUCUCUUUUCGGGAACCCCCCAGAGGGAGCAGCAGAAACCAGGGCUGGCAGGGGCUCUAAGCUGCCUGGGCAAAGGAGCAGGGGGUAGCAUGGAGCCUUAGCCAAUUUGGAAAGCACUGUGACCCAAGCACAUUUUGCAGCAGUAAUGUCAAAUUCUGCCGUUCAGGCAUGCCAUUGAUGUGCACGCUGCCACACAGAAACCAGUGACACAAAGGCACAGCCUUCUCCACCCUCCUGGUGCUUAGGAACUAACGGCUCUAAUGAGAAAUGAGAGCUGAAAGGAGAGAGACGGGGGCGGGCCACAGCAGCGCAGGCUGGCACUGCGUGUUGGAGGAGGCUGACCCACUUCUCGUAGAGAACCUCAUGUAGCCAGGAAAGGCCCUAAGCUUUGGGACUCCUGAUCCUCCUGCCACCACGUUCUGGAAUACAGGCAUGUGCUGCCACGCCCUGCAAACAGGGAUGCAGGUUUCUGAGCAUCCAUCCUUCCCAGGAGCUUUUCCAGACUUGCCUCCAGCCUAGGAGCCUUGUGAAGCCAACUGCCACUCCCCACAAACGAUAGCAAAUUGAGUGCACCUGGAACCUGAUGGUGUUUGUUUUUUGAGAUGGAAGAUAUUGAGCCUGUUCGCAUGCCAACAAGCAGGAUUCAGGAGGAGAGGAACUGUCAGAGAGAAACUGAGACAGCCUGAAAGGGCAGCGAAUAGAGGGAGAUCUGAGGCAUACCUGCUCCCAGUAAUGGGGGACCAUGACACCUACAGGGACGACAUUACAGUGAGCACUGGCAAGUUCUACUUUCCCCAGGAAGCAGGGGACCCUCCACUGAGGUUGGAGGAAGAGACGAGGGUGGGAGGCAAAAGAGAGAAAGACACAGACAUCUGGCGGUGUGGGCGAGCAAGCUAGUCUUCGAGGGCCCUCUGCAGGAGGGUGGAACCUAUCAGGAGCUCCAGCCAGCCUGGUCUUGGGACUUUCUCCAGUGAUGUCAGCUAUUGGGUGUGGCAAGAGGCAGGGAAGGGACACCCAGGGGUGGGGUUUCCAGUGAGUGUGCAUCGUAAAUUUGAAAGUAUUUGCAAACAUGCCUUUCUAAUCCCAUCGCCCAUCCUCGGUCCCAAAGCUUCCUGCCUCUUGUUGGACUCUUGGUGCUCUGCCUCCUGUUCUAGGACGAAUGAUAGCUGGGUUCGUCAGGCCUCAGUCCUCAUGCCUGUCCUUGCUGAACCUUCAAUAGUUCCUUCGUUUAUAUAGAGCUGUAUAAAAUUUAAAUAAAAUUUUUAUUUAAA